Molecule: transfer RNA, 113 nt
Filed under: Methylobacter sp. YRD-M1
Lineage: Bacteria; Pseudomonadati; Pseudomonadota; Gammaproteobacteria; Methylococcales; Methylococcaceae
Description: tRNA-OTHER
Rfam family: tRNA
About the family: Transfer RNA (tRNA) molecules are approximately 80 nucleotides in length.
Source: RNAcentral
CGCGAUGUAGCUCCAAUGGACAGAGCCCUUGUUUUCUUUGUAUACAGAAUUAGAUGCCGCUAAGCUGGAUACAGACAAGGAGGAUGCAGGUUCGAAUCCUGCCAUUGCGCCCA